AUGAAGCACCGCCGGCGGUCGAAGCAGCAGAAGCUCGACUCCGUGCCUCCCCCUGCGUCCCCGGCCGCCCGCGCUCCACGCCCCAUGCCAAGCCCGAGCGCCAGCCCCAAAAGCCCCGCCCUCGCCACUCCUCCGCCGGAGCAGGCGCCGGAAGUGGUAGUCCCCGAGGACUGGGCCAUGGCCACCGACGUCAUCUCCUCCGACCUCUCGUCUCCGGUUGUCCUCGUGUGCGGCCCCUCCAACAGCGGCAAGUCGACCUUCACCCGCCUCCUCCUCAACAAGCUGCUCCCCAGCUAUGGGAGGGUCGGGUAUCUGGACACCGACGUGGGGCAGCCGGAGUUCUCGCCGCCGGGGUGUCUCUCUCUGCACAUCGUCGAUGAAGCUAUCACAGAUAUGCAGAACCCGGUUCUGCGGGAGGCAGAAAGGUGCUGCUUCUACGGCGAUAUAUCUUCAAAAGGGGAUCCAGAAUCAUAUCUGAACUCUUUAUUUCUCUUGUAUAACUACUUCGUUGAAAAAUAUCGUUGUCCUGGGGGUGAAGUGCUUCCUUUGAUUGUCAACACUCCUGGAUGGGUGAAAGGUACUGGUUUUGAUAUGCUUGUAGAGAUGCUAAGGUAUAUCUGUCCCACAAUUGUUGUUCCGAUACGCACCAGAAUGCAGAGAAAGAAUCUCCCUGAUGGAAUGUUUUGGUUAACCGGUGGGGAAACAGAACCUAAAGUGAUUACAAUUGAUGCUGCAAGUCGUGAUUCCUUGUCAAAAUCAUCGUUAAAGCGGAAAGAUGGGGGUGGAAUGCGUGAACGGCGGCUUGUGGAGUACUUUAAACAAUGUUUUUCAAGUGACAUAUCACUAGCAACAAACAAAGAGCUUGCUUAUGCCCUAGCGUCUCUGCCACCCUAUGAAGUAUCAUUUUCAGAUGUUACAGUUAUGCAUCUUCAUUGCGAGGUACCCCGUACUGAGAUAUGGCAUAGUCUGAAUGCAACCAUAGUUGGCUUGGCAAAUAGUUGUGACACACCUGCGACAGCCCAUGCAAUUCCUUGGUGUGUUGGGCUUGGUAUUGUCAGAGGCGUCGAUGUGCAAAGGGGCCUGUUAUAUGUUAUCACUCCUGUUGCUGUUGAACAUCUUCAAAGCGUAGAUUUGCUGCUGCAGGGUCUCAUUGAGAUUCCGAGAUCUGUUCUACAGGUCAAGGGAUGCGAGUCGCCGUACAUGUCCACCAAUGUGCGGGACAAGAUAACGGGGAAGGAUCUGUACGCGAGUAAUCUCAACAGCCCACUGUCCAGACAGGAUGACGGCGAUUCCGAUUCGGAUGCAGAUACUAUGUAA
This 1317-nucleotide ribosomal RNA is filed under the name Triticum aestivum (bread wheat). RNAcentral's name for it is "partial small subunit ribosomal RNA". The record is from RNAcentral. Lineage: Eukaryota; Viridiplantae; Streptophyta; Magnoliopsida; Poales; Poaceae.